This 253-nucleotide ribosomal RNA is filed under the name uncultured bacterium. Its description in RNAcentral is "partial 16S ribosomal RNA". The stretch from base 44 to 253 matches the Rfam family "Bacterial small subunit ribosomal RNA", at positions 567 to 776 of the family's 1533-position model. The record is from RNAcentral.
UACGCCGGUCCCCCGCUUUCUCCUUCUUUCUUUUUUUUCCCUUUUUCUUCUUCUUUCUAUUAAUUCAUUUUUUAAAUCUCCGAGCCUAACUCGGAAAUUGCCAUUGAUACUGAUGGUCUUGAGUACAUUUGAAGUGGGCGGAAUGUGUCAUGUAGCGGUGAAAUGCUUAGAUAUGACACAGAACACCGAUUGCGUAGGCAGCUCACUAAACUGUAACUGACGCUGAGGCACGAAAGCGUGGGGAGCAAACAGG